CCCUUAGAUGUUCUGGGCCGCACGCGCGCUACACUGAUGCAUUCAACGAGCCUAUCCUUGACCGACAGGUCCGGGUAAUCUUUGAAUCUGCAUCGUGACGGGGAUAGAUUAUUGCAAUUAUUAAUCUUCAACGAGGAGUGCCUAGUAGGCGCAAGUCAUCAGCUUGCGUCGAUUACGUCCCUGCCCUUUGUACACACCGCCCGUCGCUCCUACCGAUUGGGUGUGCUGGUGAAAUGUUCGGAUCGGCCGUUUGUCGCGGUUUCCGCGUCAUGUGGCUGAGAAGUUCAUUAAACCCUCCCACCGAGAGGAAGGAGAAGUCGUAACA
RNAcentral lists this ribosomal RNA (325 nucleotides) under uncultured eukaryote. RNAcentral describes it as "partial 18S ribosomal RNA". It matches the Rfam family "Eukaryotic small subunit ribosomal RNA", at positions 1470 to 1796 of the family's 1831-position model. The record is from RNAcentral.